GCCCGGCUAGCUCAAUCGGUAGAGCGUGAGACUCUUAAUCUCAAGGUUGUGGGUUCGACCCGUAAGCGCUUAUUCGAUCCUUCUCAGGCAUGAUCAUUGCAACUAACACAUACUAGCCACGUCGGGCUCA
Non-coding RNA from Colletotrichum liriopes, 130 nucleotides. NCBI's taxonomy places the organism in Eukaryota, Fungi, Ascomycota, Sordariomycetes, Glomerellales, Glomerellaceae. The record is from the annotation of a GenBank genome assembly.